CAUACUUGCAAGUCUCAAAUAAAAAUGUCUAUACUAAUAGAUGGUGUUAGAAACAACAGCAAAUAAGGUCAUACGGGAAAGAUUAUGGAAACCCCAAACUUACCUUUUGCAAGAGUAAAUCAAAUACCUAAUCCUUUGAAGAUUGCUCAAGAUUGAUUUGGGAAGGUGGAAAAAAUAGAAGAUUAUACAUCUCUAUCAGAGCUAUUGGCUUACUUUUUAAAUUUUCAUCAAGGAAAUGCUUCAGGGAGCAGAGAUUCAAAAGGAAAGAUACAGGUACAU
Non-coding RNA from Peromyscus maniculatus bairdii (prairie deer mouse), 279 nucleotides. The record is from RefSeq and is a predicted model, not a curated record. NCBI's taxonomy places the organism in Eukaryota, Metazoa, Chordata, Mammalia, Rodentia, Cricetidae.